Molecule: ribosomal RNA, 397 nt
Filed under: uncultured bacterium
Lineage: Bacteria
Description: bacterial SSU rRNA
Rfam family: Bacterial small subunit ribosomal RNA
Source: RNAcentral
CUACCCUUGACAUGCCACUAACGAAGCCGAGAUGCAUUAGGUGCCCGAAAGGGAAAGUGGACACAGGUGCUGCAUGGCUGUCGUCAGCUCGUGUCGUGAGAUGUUGGGUUAAGUCCCGCAACGAGCGCAACCCUUGUCUCUAGUUGCUACGAAAGGGCACUCUAGAGAGACUGCCGGUGACAAACCGGAGGAAGGUGGGGAUGACGUCAAGUCCUCAUGGCCCUUAUGGGUAGGGCUUCACACGUCAUACAAUGGUACAUACAGAGGGCCGCCAACCCGCGAGGGGGAGCUAAUCCCAGAAAGUGUAUCGUAGUCCGGAUUGUAGUCUGCAACUCGACUACAUGAAGUUGGAAUCGCUAGUAAUCGCGGAUCAGCAUGUCGCGGUGAAUACGUUCCC